Non-coding RNA from Pelodiscus sinensis (Chinese soft-shelled turtle), 2329 nucleotides. The record is from RefSeq and is a predicted model, not a curated record. NCBI's taxonomy places the organism in Eukaryota, Metazoa, Chordata, Testudines, Trionychidae.
UGUUUCCCCUGCUGCCUUUGGAAGGCUGUUCCAGAAUUUGUUCCUCUGAUGGGUCGAAAUCUUCGGCUGAUUUUCAGCCGGGACUUGUUGAUGGUCAGUUUGUCCUUGUGCCCCAUUGGCGUUUAAUGUGAGCGGCUCCUCCCCCUCCUCUGGUAUUUAUUCUCCUGAUGUGUUUAUGGAGAGCAACCCUGCCUCCCCUGAGCCUUCCUUUGGUCAGGCUAAGCAAGCCAUGCUCAGAGGUAAGCUUUCCCGCCCACAGAUCACCCUAGGAGCCUUCUCUGCAUCCGUUCCAGUCUGAAUCAAUCUUUCUUACACCUGUGGCCAGAAUAGCUAUUGCAGAUGAGGUCUUGUCAGUGCCUUGGAGAACACCACUGAUGCUUCCCUGUCUUCUGGCAAUGCCUCGCCUGGUGCCCCCUUUGAAUUGCUUUGUAGAAACUGCAGAAUUCCUCCAUCUGUCUCUUUCCUUUGCCAGAUCCUCAUGGCUGCUGCUGGCCCCUUUGCUCACCCCUGCUGCUGCUCAAGUCACAGCCCCAUCGUUCUGCUUGUGUCCGGAGGGGGUGCACAAGUUCCAGUGGAUCAGGAACCUGGUUCCAGAGUUUGGGGUCUCCAGCUCUCACAUCCGGGUGCUGUCAUCCCCGACUGAAUUCUACGAGCUCAUGAAGGAUCAGAUAAAGGCAGCCAAGCAGCGAGUAGUGAUGGCUUCGCUGUACCUCGGCACAGGACUCCUGGAGCAGGAGCUGGUGGAUUGUAUUGAAGAAGCACUGGAGAGGUCACUGCAGGCAAGUGGGUCCUCUGACUUCCGAGUCUCCAUCCUCCUGGAUUUCACCAGGGGAUCUCGAGGCACGACAAACUCUCGAACCAUGUUACUUCCACUGCUAAGAAGGUUUCCAGAGCAAGUCCGUGUAUCCCUCUUCCACACUCCAAAUCUGCGUGGGCUGCUCAAACUCCUAAUGCCCGAGCGUUUCAACGAAACCAUCGGGCUGCAGCACAUCAAGGUUUACCUCUUUGAUGACAACGUGAUCCUGAGCGGUGCAAACUUGAGUGACUCCUACUUCGCCGAUCGUCAGGACCGCUAUGUGUUCCUACAGGACUCUCCCGAGAUCGCCGAGUUCUUCACCCAGCUGGUGGAUGCCAUUGGAGACGUGUCGCUGCAGCUACAGCAAGAUGAUACAGUGCAAAUGAUGGAGGGGAUGGUGCAUCCGUACCAAGGAGACAAAAGGGCAUAUUGUGAAGCGGCAAACAGGAGAGUCAUGGAAGUGAUCGGCUCUGCCAAGGCUCGACAAGAACUCCAUGCCCAGACUGGCCACGGAGGGGAGGCGGAAGGAGAUCCGCGGUUGCCCCAGCAAGACCCACCACCCAAACCAGACACCUGGAUUUAUCCGCUAAUUCAAAUGAAACCCUUUGGGAUUCAAAUCGAUGAGCUGGUCACAGAGACGCUGCUGAGAGAAGCAGAAGGCGGCGCCAGAAUAUACCUCACCACUGGCUACUUCAACCUCACGCAAGCCUACAUGGACCUUGUGCUGGGCGCCAGGGCGGAGUAUCGCAUUCUGCUGGCCUCCCCAGAGGUGAACGGCUUCUUUGGCGCCAAAGGGGUGGCAGGUGCCAUUCCUCCUGCCUAUGUUCACAUUGAGCGUCAGUUCUACAGCAAGGUGUGCCGCCGUGGCCAGCAAGGCAGGGUCCGACUGCAGGAAUACUCCAGGAGCGGGUGGACUUUCCACGCCAAAGGCCUCUGGCUGUACCUGGCAGGAAGCAGUCUGCCCUGCCUGACUCUGAUUGGCUCUCCUAAUUUUGGGUACAGGUCGGUUCAUCGGGACCUUGAAGCUCAGGUUGCAAUAGUGACAGAGAAUCGUGACCUGCAGCAGCAGCUCCAUCAGGUUAGUGGCAAAGGAGCAGGAACAGCUUUAUCGGCGGGCAGCCGUGGUGUCGUCCUGUACGUUUGAGCAGCCCAGCCGCUGCGUGAAGCUGUGGGUGAAGCUGGUAACACCUCUGAUUAAGAACUUCUUUUGAAAGGAGAAGGAUCCUCCUCGGGUUGAAGGUCCAGACGUAGGUGGGGCCUCGCAUGCGUGUCUUGUAGACGGGGCACUCGUACACGUUCUUGGUGUCCAUGCGGUCCACGGGGAUGGCUCUGAUGAAGAUGACUGGCAUCGAGGGCGUCAACUCCUUCAGCCGCGCAUCCGUGAUAACCCCACUAGGAACGUCCCAGCGAGCGCCUGCAGUGUGACGGCCAGUCAGUGAGGGGGCAGCCGGAGGACCAAAGGGCGCUGCAGUAGCCUGGCCUUGGUUCCCCGGUGCCCAGUUGCCUUUUCAGAGUGACUGAUCCUGCGCCUAC